Molecule: ribosomal RNA, 253 nt
Filed under: uncultured bacterium
Lineage: Bacteria
Description: partial 16S ribosomal RNA
Rfam family: Bacterial small subunit ribosomal RNA
Source: RNAcentral
UACAGAGGGUGCUAGCGUUGUUAGGAAUUAUUGGGCGUAAAGCGCGUGUAGGCGGCCAUGCAAGUUGGGUGUGAAAGCCCUCGGCUUAACCGAGGAAGUGCGCCCAAAACUACAAGGCUUGAGUACCGGAGAGGGUGGCGGAAUUCCCGGUGUAGAGGUGAAAUUCGUAGAUAUCGGGAGGAACACCAGUGGCGAAGGCGGCCACCUGGACGGCUACUGACGCUGAGACGCGAAAGCGUGGGGAGCAAACAGG